This 1826-nucleotide ribosomal RNA is filed under the name Staphylococcus aureus. Its description in RNAcentral is "23S ribosomal RNA". It matches the Rfam family "Bacterial large subunit ribosomal RNA", at positions 1095 to 2925 of the family's 2925-position model. The record is from RNAcentral. Lineage: Bacteria; Bacillati; Bacillota; Bacilli; Caryophanales; Staphylococcaceae.
AGGAUGUUGGCUUAGAAGCAGCCAUCAUUUAAAGAGUGCGUAAUAGCUCACUAGUCGAGUGACACUGCGCCGAAAAUGUACCGGGGCUAAACAUAUUACCGAAGUUGUGGAUUGUCCUUUGGACAAUGGUAGGAGAGCGUUCUAAGGGCGUUGAAGCAUGAUCGUAAGGACAUGUGGAGCGCUUAGAAGUGAGAAUGCCGGUGUGAGUAGCGAAAGACGGGUGAGAAUCCCGUCCACCGAUUGACUAAGGUUUCCAGAGGAAGGCUCGUCCGCUCUGGGUUAGUCGGGUCCUAAGCUGAGGCCGACAGGCGUAGGCGAUGGAUAACAGGUUGAUAUUCCUGUACCACCUAUAAUCGUUUUAAUCGAUGGGGGGACGCAGUAGGAUAGGCGAAGCGUGCGAUUGGAUUGCACGUCUAAGCAGUAAGGCUGAGUAUUAGGCAAAUCCGGUACUCGUUGAGGCUGAGCUGUGAUGGGGAGAAGACAUUGUGUCUUCGAGUCGUUGAUUUCACACUGCCGAGAAAAGCCUCUAGAUAGAAAAUAGGUGCCCGUACCGCAAACCGACACAGGUAGUCAAGAUGAGAAUUCUAAGGUGAGCGAGCGAACUCUCGUUAAGGAACUCGGCAAAAUGACCCCGUAACUUCGGGAGAAGGGGUGCUCUUUAGGGUUAACGCCCAGAAGAGCCGCAGUGAAUAGGCCCAAGCGACUGUUUAUCAAAAACACAGGUCUCUGCUAAACCGUAAGGUGAUGUAUAGGGGCUGACGCCUGCCCGGUGCUGGAAGGUUAAGAGGAGUGGUUAGCUUCUGCGAAGCUACGAAUCGAAGCCCCAGUAAACGGCGGCCGUAACUAUAACGGUCCUAAGGUAGCGAAAUUCCUUGUCGGGUAAGUUCCGACCCGCACGAAAGGCGUAACGAUUUGGGCACUGUCUCAACGAGAGACUCGGUGAAAUCAUAGUACCUGUGAAGAUGCAGGUUACCCGCGACAGGACGGAAAGACCCCGUGGAGCUUUACUGUAGCCUGAUAUUGAAAUUCGGCACAGCUUGUACAGGAUAGGUAGGAGCCUUUGAAACGUGAGCGCUAGCUUACGUGGAGGCGCUGGUGGGAUACUACCCUAGCUGUGUUGGCUUUCUAACCCGCACCACUUAUCGUGGUGGGAGACAGUGUCAGGCGGGCAGUUUGACUGGGGCGGUCGCCUCCUAAAAGGUAACGGAGGCGCUCAAAGGUUCCCUCAGAAUGGUUGGAAAUCAUUCAUAGAGUGUAAAGGCAUAAGGGAGCUUGACUGCGAGACCUACAAGUCGAGCAGGGUCGAAAGACGGACUUAGUGAUCCGGUGGUUCCGCAUGGAAGGGCCAUCGCUCAACGGAUAAAAGCUACCCCGGGGAUAACAGGCUUAUCUCCCCCAAGAGUUCACAUCGACGGGGAGGUUUGGCACCUCGAUGUCGGCUCAUCGCAUCCUGGGGCUGUAGUCGGUCCCAAGGGUUGGGCUGUUCGCCCAUUAAAGCGGUACGCGAGCUGGGUUCAGAACGUCGUGAGACAGUUCGGUCCCUAUCCGUCGUGGGCGUAGGAAAUUUGAGAGGAGCUGUCCUUAGUACGAGAGGACCGGGAUGGACAUACCUCUGGUGUACCAGUUGUCGUGCCAACGGCAUAGCUGGGUAGCUAUGUGUGGACGGGAUAAGUGCUGAAAGCAUCUAAGCAUGAAGCCCCCCUCAAGAUGAGAUUUCCCAACUUCGGUUAUAAGAUCCCUCAAAGAUGAUGAGGUUAAUAGGUUCGAGGUGGAAGCAUGGUGACAUGUGGAGCUGACGAAUACUAAUCGAUCGAAGACUUAAUCAA